This 359-nucleotide transfer-messenger RNA is filed under the name Pseudolabrys sp. It matches the Rfam family "Alphaproteobacteria transfer-messenger RNA". From Rfam's summary of the family: Bacterial tmRNA, also known as 10Sa RNA or SsrA, is named for its dual tRNA and mRNA-like properties. Its role is to liberate the mRNA from a stalled ribosome. Lineage: Bacteria; Pseudomonadati; Pseudomonadota; Alphaproteobacteria; Hyphomicrobiales; Xanthobacteraceae. The record is from RNAcentral.
GGUCUUCUUUCGUCAACCAAUAGCGCCUAUAUUCAUUCCCGCCGGGGCAACCCGGCUAUGGCGAUAAAUGGCCGUCGUAAUAAACCUUUCGGACCCGGGGGCAGUACCCGGCGCCUCCACCAAAGCGCAAGCCCGGCUGGGCUUCGGCGGGGGCGAAAUAGGAUCGACGAGGGCGUAAAGGACGAACUUUUGCUCGGCAUGGUUCCGCCGUUAUCGGGCCAAAUCGUAGUUGCAAAUGACAACUAUGCUCCGGUUGCUCAGGCUGCGUAAGCGGUUUGAAUAACCAAGCCUACAAGCCCUAGCCGUCUUAGCAGCGGUUAGGCGGGGUUCGGAGGCACCUGGCAACAGAAGCCUCCACU